GGGCACACAUAGAGGAAAGACCACCUGAGGACACAGGAGCUGGUGGGCGUCUGCAUGCUAGGGAGAGAGGCCUCAGGAGAAACCAACCCUGUGGACACCUUGAUGUCAGACCUCCAGCCUCCAGAACCAUGAGAGAGAAAUUUCCAUUGUUUACAAGCUCCCCGGUUGAUGUAUUUUGUAGGGCAGCUCUAGAAAAGUAACACAUUACCCAAAGACAGGUGUUGGCCCUCAUUUUUGCUUUUGGGAGAGUGAUUCUCACGAUUUAGGCAGACAGAGAAGUUUCCUUUUAAACCUAGUGCCUGGAACAGAGUAAGUGCACAGAAAGUGGUAAUUGUCAGUUUUGUUAUUGUCUCCCUGCUGCUAUCGUUUCUGUUGCCGCUGGUUGUCACACUGUUGCUGUUGUGUUCAUUGUUGAGAGGACGGGUGGCUCAGACCCUCUAUGGCCCCAGAAGGUUCAGAGACCCUCAAGAAAAAGGCAAAAGUAACUAUUUGUUCUCCACACACAGAUUUUUUUAAACUUAGAAUUCCAUUGAUAAAAUUGAAGAUGAUUUGGUUGAAUUCAAAGUCGAGGCUGAAAAUAAUUAAAAUGGGAAAGCAUUAAAAAAAUGGUGAAGGCAAGAUUGAAAUUGUGGGAAAAGGUGAGAAAGAAAGCCGAUAAAGCCAAUAGUAAUGGAGCAAAUAAGGAAUAAAAUCACUUUAGGAAGAUUAGCCCUGAGCUAACAUCUACUGCCAAUCCUCCUCCUCUUGCUGAGGAAGACCAGCCCUGAGCUCACAUCCGUGCCCAUCUACCUCCACUUCACAUGUGGGACACCUACCACAGCAUGGCCCGCCAAGCUGUGCCAUGUCCACACCCGGGAUCCGAACCAGUGAACCCUGGGCCACCGAAGCGGAACUGUGCGCACUUAACUGCUGCGCCACCAGGCCAGCCCCAGAAGAUUUCAUUUGAUCCUGCUUUUCUGGAGCAAUGCCACCAACUUCAUUUGUAAUGUGCUGCCUUUGUCUUUGGGUGGAAAAUGGUGGAAGAACAGAGGAGCAGGUGUCCUUUAUAUGCACAUAACCUCAUAAACUUCAAUUGAUUCGUUGCCACCUGUUAUCAAACGACACCUGCAUAACAGACUGCAGAUAACAAAAGAGGCAUUCAGGGGCAGACAACUACGGUUAUGCAAUUGAAAGUCAAGGUUGCAUCUUUGAGUCCACCUAGAUAGUUGUGGGCAUUUCCUUUUUUUUCCUCAAUAGUAAAUACAUUCAUAUGGUUCAUAAAUUUAAAAAUAUGAAAUGGUUUACAGUGAAAACUUUUUUGGGUCCCUUGACUGUGCAGUUUUCAUCUCCCAGCCCUUACCGGUCACUAAUUAGUUUGAUCAGUUUCAGGACUAUUCUUCCAGAAUUUCUUCAGGCAAAUACAAGUGUCUACGACCUCAUGUAUGUUUAAGCUGGGGAUCAUUUAAAGAACAACAUACCUAGUGGGAAUGAUCUUCUGCCGUUUUUCCUUUUUUGAUGUAAGAAAAAAAUAUUAUAGUGAACCUUUGCAUGAUUUUAAUUUUCUAGCAAUAGUAGAGAUAGCCUGGCCUACUAACCAGUGCUGGGCUAGGCGUCAAUAGAUGUGCAAUUAAUUUAAAAUAUAACUCUGAACUCUCGUUCUUUGUGCUUCAGCUGAGAAGGAGAAUAUGCACCCGUGAGUGUGAAGGUAAAAUGGGGACAUGCAAGUGUCAGUGCUCUGAAAAGUGUAGGCUCGCAGGCAAAAAGAAGGCAUGAAUGAUGCCCUUCAUGAGGACCAGGGCAUCUUCCAACUUUCCUUUGAUGAUAAAUGAACAGCCUUAAAUUGUGGCUUGAAACGAUUACACUAGAUUUGCAAAGCAAGACACUGCUAUCAGCUAUAAUCUUUAAAAUGAACUCAUCAACUCAACGUUUUUUUAUUGCUUGCAAAUGUCACUAUCGUUAGCCAAAGUUUAUUAAAGCUCGGUAAUGUGCUUUCUACCAUGCAGGGGGUGAUGACUGAGUUGGGAGAGAUCCCUGGACAUCUAGAAUGUCUAAAGAGGCAGCUGGUCACCAGCCACAGAGGAGGUCUAUGAGAAAUUGCUAAGGAAGCGAUGGAGGUCUGCCCUUUUUCUCUCAAUAUGCCUGAGGACUCUAGUUUAACUGACAGGAUUUCACAGCUUUGCCUUACACAAAUCAAUAUUAAUUUAUAGGUUACAUUUUAAAAGCCUUGUCCGAGUUUUUGAUCAAUCUAGUCUAUGAAAAGCAUUUGCCUUAUUUGUUUUAUUAUGUAUCUAUCUUUAUCAUAUAUAAUACAUAUAUUAUGUUAUACAUAUAUAUUUUCUGAACAUUUAAAACUAAAUUGCAGACAUCAGGCCCUUUAAUCCUA
Long non-coding RNA from Equus asinus (donkey), 2362 nucleotides. The record is from Ensembl. NCBI's taxonomy places the organism in Eukaryota, Metazoa, Chordata, Mammalia, Perissodactyla, Equidae.